CCCAGAAGACCUCUCUGUCCUGUAGCACCUGCCAUGAGCAUCAGGCUCCUGUGCUGUGUGGCCUUUUCUCUCCUGUGUGCAGGUCCAGUGAUUGCUGGGAUCACCCAGGCCCCAAGAUCUCAGAUCCUGGCAGCAGGACGGAGCGUGACACUGAGAUGUACCCAGGAUAUGAGACAUAAUGCCAUGUACUGGUAUAGACAAGAUUUAGGACUGGGGCUAAGGCUCAUCCAUUACUCAAAUACUGCAGGUACCAUUGGCAAAGGAGAAGUCCCUGAUGGUUAUAGUGUCUCCAGAGCAAACACAGAUGAUUUCCCCCUCACGUUGGUGUCUGCUGUACCCUCUCAGACAUCUGUGUACUUCUGUGCCAGCAGUGACUCCACACUUCCAACAAGAAAUUCAUAUUUCACUUUCUUUUCAGGGGAGAAGAAAAAAGCAGAAAGCAGCUGGAAAGCUUUGGCCUGCUUGAGUGAUCUGGGAUUCUCACAUAGCACACAAAACAUCACCUUGGCUUUGGACAGGGAGGGGAGCACUGGACCUCAGGAAGCCUUCAGGGGGAGGACACAGGACAGUGACAUCACAGGAUACCCCUCCCAUCAGGAAAAUCAAGGCCCAGAACUCACUCGGCUCUUCCCCAGGAGGACCAAGCCCUGA
This is a non-coding RNA of Pongo pygmaeus (Bornean orangutan), 651 nucleotides long. The record is from the annotation of a RefSeq genome assembly. Lineage: Eukaryota; Metazoa; Chordata; Mammalia; Primates; Hominidae.